AGUGAACGCUGGCGGUAGGCCUAACACAUGCAAGUCGAACGGCAGCACAGUAAGAGCUUGCUCUUACGGGUGGCGAGUGGCGGACGGGUGAGGAAUACAUCGGAAUCUACUUUUUCGUGGGGGAUAACGUAGGGAAACUUACGCUAAUACCGCAUACGACCUACGGGUGAAAGCAGGGGAUCUUCGGACCUUGCGCGAUUGAAUGAGCCGAUGUCGGAUUAGCUGGUUGGCGGGGUAAAGGCCCACCAAGGCGACGAUCCGUAGCUGGUCUGAGAGGAUGAACAGCCACACUGAGACUGAGAGACGUCCAAAGACCCUACGGAAGGCAGGAGUGGGGAUUAUUGGACAAGGGGAGAAAGCCUGAUCCAGCCAUGCCGGGUGGGUGAAGAAAGCCUUCGAGGUAUAAAGCCCUUUUGUGAGGAAAAAAAAGCAGAAGGUUAAAACCCCGCUGUUCCGGGGGGAACAAAAGAAAAACCACCGGCUACCUUGUU
RNAcentral lists this ribosomal RNA (491 nucleotides) under uncultured bacterium. RNAcentral's name for it is "partial 16S ribosomal RNA". It matches the Rfam family "Bacterial small subunit ribosomal RNA", at positions 29 to 506 of the family's 1533-position model. The record is from RNAcentral.